Molecule: ribosomal RNA, 492 nt
Filed under: uncultured bacterium
Lineage: Bacteria
Description: partial 16S ribosomal RNA
Rfam family: Bacterial small subunit ribosomal RNA
Source: RNAcentral
AGUGAACGCUGGCGGUAUGCCUAACACAUGCAAGUCGAACGGCAGCACAGUAAGAUCUUGCUCUUACGGGUGGCGAGUGGCGGACGGGUGAGGAAUACAUCGGAAUCUACUUUUUCGUGGGGGAUAACGUAGGGAAACUUACGCUAAUACCGCAUACGACCUACGGGUGAAAUCAGGGGAUCUUCGGACCUUGCGCGAUUGAAUGAGCCGAUGUCGCAUUAGCUAGUUGGCUGGGUAAAGGCCCACCAAGGCGACGAUCCGUAGCUGGCCUGAGAGGAUGAUCAGCCACACUGGAACUGAGACACGGUCCAGACUCCUACGGGAGGCAGCAGUGGGGAAUAUUGGACAAUGGGCGCAAGCCUGAUGCAGCCAUGCCGCGUGGGUGAAGAAGGCCUUCGGGUUGUAAAGCCCUGUUGUUGGGAAAGAAAAGCAGCAGGUGAAUACCUGGCUGUUCUGACGGUACCCAAAGAAUAAGCACCGGCUAACUUCGUG